GAUGAACGCUGGCGGCGUGCCUAAUACAUGCAAGUCGAGCGAACUUUUGGGAGCUUGCUCCCAACAGUUAGCGGCGGACGGGUGAGUAACACGUGGGUAACCUGCCUGUAAGACUGGGAUAACUUCGGGAAACCGGAGCUAAUACCGGAUAACAUUUAAGACCACAUGUCCUUCAAUUAAAAGGUGGCUUUUAGCUACCACUUACAGAUGCACCCGCUGCGCAUUAGCUAGUUCGUGAGGUAACGGCUCACCAAGGCGACGAUUCGUAGCCGACCUGAGAGGGUGGUGGGCAACACUGGGCUUGAGAAAGCGCAGAGACGCCUACGGGGGGCAGCAGUAGGGAAUCUUAGGCACUGGACGAAAGUCUAAAGGAGCAACACGGCGUGAGCGAAGAAGACCUUCGGGUCGUAAAGCACGGUUGUUAGAGAAGAACAAGUAUCGUUCGAAUAGAGCGGUACCUUGAAGGUACCUAACUAGAAAGCCAGGGAUAACUACGUG
Molecule: ribosomal RNA, 498 nt
Filed under: uncultured bacterium
Lineage: Bacteria
Description: partial 16S ribosomal RNA
Rfam family: Bacterial small subunit ribosomal RNA
Source: RNAcentral